GAGCAGCCUGGAGGAAGUUACAUACGGUCUUGAUCGAUUGAUCUUCAGGGAUACUCACAUAAUAGGACAAUAUGGGGUGUCAUAUAUGUAUUGUCACACCACUGGGUAUGCCGCAGCCCCCGCUGCCACCGCCUUUCUUCGCGGCGGCCGUCCCCCAGCCCCCGCCGCCACCACCAACCUUCGCGCGGCCGCAACGCGAGAAUGUGAGUAACAGGCGACGGCGGCAGAAGGGCCGCGGCGGAAAAAAUAGUAGUACGACCACCUGCGAAUCAGCGAGGGUCACGAAUAAUCAAAAAUGUCUAUAUUACACGAAAUUUAAAAAAAAAUAAACUAAAAUUAUCAAGUGUAUAUUACCUUAAUUUGUAUUUCCCAUUAUACACCCUAGUUCAGAAGUUCCCCAACUUUUUAGAUCCGCAGCUCCCUUAGUAUACAGAUUACACUGACCAACAAAUUUAAACUUUUUUUA
Molecule: long non-coding RNA, 466 nt
Organism: Hylaeus volcanicus
Lineage: Eukaryota; Metazoa; Arthropoda; Insecta; Hymenoptera; Colletidae
Exons: 3
Source: RefSeq, a predicted model, not a curated record